GGCAGCUUCUCUGUGACCGCUGUGUGGGCAGGGAGUAGCAGGGGGCCGCAGCUGCUCGGGGGGACCGGGACGGGCUGGGCUGAAGGCCCCGAGGGGCGGGGAUGUGGCGCCGAAGGGAGCGCAGGGGGCUCGGUGGCGGAGCGGAGCCGGGGACAGCAGCCGGCCUGGGGUGCAGUCGGUCUGGGAUUGAGGACUGGAGUCAGGGUGGGCGCUGGUGGGCUCAGGAGCUCCGGGGCCAGAGGAAGGGGCGGCCGAGGCACUGGCGGCUUGCGGAGGUCUGGAGUACGGUCACGAUCCUGGGCCUCUUCCUAUUUUGGAGAAAUAAUUGAGGACUGGUUCUAGGGCUGGUUUUACCUGUUGGUAUUGGUCAAAGACACUCACCAAAAUACUUAAAACCCUAGUAGACUUGCUUGUUUGCUGCUGCUUUUGGUUUGUUCACUACCCAUUUGCCUUGCGUGCCUCUGUGUGCCACGACACUUUGCAUCACGCGUUAAGUGGGGACUUGCCUAUGACUGGCAGCCCGACCCUGCCUGAUCAAGCCCAAAUAUAGGUAGUGACCUAGCAACAAGUUUUAACAUUGGGACUUGCUGGCCCACUGCUCCAGCCCGCCGUGCCAGCCUGAGGGCCGACUCCUUGCCAUACACAGCACUCAAUGGGACUGCUCCAGCCUGCAAACCUGGACCCUGUUUUGACCAAGUGGUUGCUGACCACCUGAUGACUUCUGAGAGCCACAGAAGACCUCUCUUGUGUCCGUGGGCCUUCUCGGAUGGCAUGCUCAAUUUGGACUGAACAAGCACCACAGCCCUAUCACGUCAUUUCCAUGUGAAGUCCACAACGUGGCUUUCACUACUUAUAUUUUCCUGUUCAUGCUCUUGGAGCACAAAUAUUGAGACUUUUGACCAGUGAGUACCCUAACUCUCUUUGCUCAAGUUUGUAAAAGUUCAUGCUUAACCUUUCAGCGGCAGUUUGUGCUGCAAGUCUCUCUAGUUACACACAUUUCUAAAGAUUUUUCCUAAAUCAUUUGGCUGUACAGAUGCACUCUGCAAAACAGUUUUACCAACCACAUCAUAGAAUCUCUCUGUGUUAAUUGUAAAGAAGUUUGGAGAAGUUUUAUUUGUAUAAUUAAUAAACUAUUAAAUAAUUUUUUA
Molecule: long non-coding RNA, 1148 nt
Organism: Pogoniulus pusillus (Red-fronted tinkerbird)
Lineage: Eukaryota; Metazoa; Chordata; Aves; Piciformes; Lybiidae
Exons: 2
Source: RefSeq, a predicted model, not a curated record